This is a long non-coding RNA of Nyctereutes procyonoides (raccoon dog), 647 nucleotides long. RefSeq lists it as uncharacterized. NCBI's taxonomy places the organism in Eukaryota, Metazoa, Chordata, Mammalia, Carnivora, Canidae. The record is from RefSeq and is a predicted model, not a curated record. The transcript has 3 exons.
CGGCUGGCUUCACACCAGCCAUCUUGGGUGACGGUGAUCGCCGCCUCUAGGCGCUCCGGGUUAGAGCGUCUGGCGCCAUCUUGGAUGCGGUCAGCGUCGCCUUUGGCCUCCUCCGCCGGUGCCGCCGCGUCUGCCGCCUGGAGGCUUCGUCGUCCCUGAGUGUUUUCUGUCCUUAUCCCCUCUGCCUCCGUGACGGAUCGGGAGUAUGACGCCCUCGUUCUCCCUUCCCUCCUUGCUUCUGCCGAUGGCUCUGGCCUCGCCGCCGAGCACGUGACCAGCGGGAAUAUAAACAGUUACUUGAGAGUAGAGGAUGUUUCUGAUGUAUUUUAGCAUCUCUGAGUGCCAGAAGAAUAGGGGCUUACCAUCAGGAUCAGGAUGUAUCUGGGUAGUCUCCAGCGAGUGGCAUGGGAAGAAACAGAAGGGUUAAGAGAUUGAACAAACAGCGUGCACUGUGGUAUCCUUUAUUUAAAAACUGUGAGCUAACUACAGUUGUAGUGUUCUCAUUUACCAUUCUGAUGGCAUAAUAAACUGGGAGAACAUUAACACAAUUUCAAGACAUUAAAAACCUGUAGCAAACACACACCACACAUGCGCACACACAUGACAACACACAUGCACACGCAGAUUAUAGUCUAAACACAACUAAG